RNAcentral lists this long non-coding RNA (851 nucleotides) under Nicotiana tabacum (common tobacco). Its description in RNAcentral is "long non-coding RNA (NTAB_LNC006063)". The record is from RNAcentral. Lineage: Eukaryota; Viridiplantae; Streptophyta; Magnoliopsida; Solanales; Solanaceae.
UAGUUACUGCAGUGCUACCAAAAUACUUGGAAGAGAAUGGAGAAGGCAACAUUCCUUAAGAUAUUUUUAGUCUCUUUUUUGCUUAUUUUAUUAGGUAAACAAUUUAGAUCAACUUACCUAUAUUAUAUAUUAAGUAGAAGUUCAUAUUCAACCAGGUUAUAGUCACACUUUGUUUAUAAAUUUGAGGCAAUGCAUUUUUUUGUCAGAAGCUCUUUCUAACAAGUACUUAUUUUGAUCAAGCUUCCAAAAUCUGCUUAUUUUGAAAAGUAUAUGUUGUCAGACUUUCUAAUAUAAAUAAUUUUUCUGAAAAAUAAGCACUUUUAACUUCCCAAAAAAUUUACGCAACAUGCUAUUAGUAUCUAAAAGAUAUCGCUCAUACUUCAAAGAUCGAAUGUCUACUUUUAUUUUUGCAUUAUAUUAGCCAAAAUGUUAUAAAUAUAUAGAUAUUAAAUUAUCCUUUCUUCUACAAAUAAUUUAUUUUCAUAUUUAUUCUAUAUAUUGUACUAUAUAUUUUCUUUUCUAGCAAAUUGUAAGUAUAGCAAUUUGUGUCUUUUUAUAUGUUUAAAUAUGAUAAGUCUAGUUAAUUUUUUGUUUUUAAUAACUUAAUAUUCAACAAUGUCUCAUUGAUGCUAGGACAUUCAAGCAAUGGGAUAUUUUUAUGCUCUAACGAUGCCGAUUGCGCUGGAAUUAUGAAAUGCAUAGACGCCGCAGAUCCCAAAUGCGACUUAACUGCAAAAGCGUGCUUCUGUCCAAAACCUCCGGCAGCUAAUAAUGGAGCAAAAAGAGUUCAGAAGACUGACCAAAAGUGAUUUAUGAUUGAAUUUUUCAUUGGUAAUAAGGAUCAAUAAAAU